UCGAACGAAGCACUUUUACAGAUUUCUUCGGAAUGAAGUUUUAGUGACUGAGUGGCGGACGGGUGAGUAACGCGUGGGUAACCUGCCUCACACAGGGGGAUAACAGUUGGAAACGGCUGCUAAUACCGCAUAAGCGCACAGUACCGCAUGGUACGGUGUGAAAAACUCCGGUGGUGUGAGAUGGACCCGCGUCUGAUUAGCUAGUUGGCAGGGCAACGGCCUACCAAGGCGACGAUCAGUAGCCGACCUGAGAGGGUGACCGGCCACAUUGGGACUGAGACACGGCCCAAACUCCUACGGGAGGCAGCAGUGGGGAAUAUUGCACAAUGGGGGAAACCCUGAUGCAGCGACGCCGCGUGGGCGAAGAAGUAUUUCGGUAUGUAAAGCUCUAUCAGCAGGGAAGAAGAAAUGACGGUACCUGACUAAGAAGCACCGGCUAAAUACGUGCCAGCAGCCGCGGUAAUACGUAUGGUGCAAGCGUUAUCCGGAUUUACUGGGUGUAAAGGGAGCGCAGGCGGAAGGCUAAGUCUGAUGUGAAAGCCCGGGGCUCAACCCCGGUACUGCAUUGGAAACUGG
Molecule: ribosomal RNA, 576 nt
Filed under: uncultured bacterium
Lineage: Bacteria
Description: bacterial SSU rRNA
Rfam family: Bacterial small subunit ribosomal RNA
Source: RNAcentral